RNAcentral lists this ribosomal RNA (525 nucleotides) under Salmonella enterica subsp. enterica serovar Oranienburg. RNAcentral describes it as "bacterial LSU rRNA". It matches the Rfam family "Bacterial large subunit ribosomal RNA", at positions 1252 to 1772 of the family's 2925-position model. The record is from RNAcentral. RNAcentral also lists the same sequence under 1 other name. Lineage: Bacteria; Pseudomonadati; Pseudomonadota; Gammaproteobacteria; Enterobacterales; Enterobacteriaceae.
GAAGGUGGCCUGUGAGGGUUGCUGGAGGUAUCAGAAGUGCGAAUGCUGACAUAAGUAACGAUAAAGCGGGUGAAAAGCCCGCUCGCCGGAAGACCAAGGGUUCCUGUCCAACGUUAAUCGGGGCAGGGUGAGUCGACCCCUAAGGCGAGGCCGAAAGGCGUAGUCGAUGGGAAACGGGUUAAUAUUCCCGUACUUGGUGUUACUGCGAAGGGGGGACGGAGAAGGCUAUGUUGGCCGGGCGACGGUUGUCCCGGUUUAAGCGUGUAGGUGUGUGUUCCAGGUAAAUCCGGUUCACUUUAACACUGAGGCGUGAUGACGAGGCACUACGGUGCUGAAGCAACAAAUGCCCUGCUUCCAGGAAAAGCCUCUAAGCAUCAGGUAACAUCAAAUCGUACCCCAAACCGACACAGGUGGUCAGGUAGAGAAUACCAAGGCGCUUGAGAGAACUCGGGUGAAGGAACUAGGCAAAAUGGUGCCGUAACUUCGGGAGAAGGCACGCUGACAUGUAGGUGAAGUGAUUUACUC